Long non-coding RNA from Priapulus caudatus, 410 nucleotides. RefSeq lists it as uncharacterized. The record is from RefSeq and is a predicted model, not a curated record. NCBI's taxonomy places the organism in Eukaryota, Metazoa, Priapulida, Priapulimorpha, Priapulimorphida, Priapulidae. The transcript has 2 exons.
UCAACGUCGCUAAAUGACACGAAGAAUCAACAUGUUUUCGAGGCAGCGUCGUGCACCGCUCGAUCGUUCUGUUUGAGCAUACCAAAAUGUUUAUUUUAACGUGCCAAUCACCGCACCGUAACCAGAUGAACACACAGACGACAUGGAGAAUCGACACGUUUUCAAGACAACAUUGAGCAGAGAGCGAUUCAGUGGUUACUGGUCUCCAGUUACACAUACCAUGAAGUGCUAUACGUACACGUCUGAUGCUAUCUAUGUUUGGAUAUACUCUUCGUACUGAUUUUACAUUAUUUAUUAUUUUUAUUAUUUAAAUAUUAUUAGAGGAUAUAUUGGUUAAAUUAAAGCAUGAACGCGUAAUUAAACGCUUUGAGUAAAACCACCAAUUUAUAUCAAUUGUAAAUGGCACUAGU